RNAcentral lists this long non-coding RNA (1240 nucleotides) under Anolis carolinensis (green anole). Its description in RNAcentral is "lncRNA (ENSACAG00000041877.1)". Lineage: Eukaryota; Metazoa; Chordata; Lepidosauria; Squamata; Anolidae. The record is from RNAcentral.
CCAAGAUUCCUUUGAGAACAUAGUCCUUCUUCCUCCGCCUCUCUCUCUCCUUCUCACCUUCUUUCUGCCCCCUUUUGCGAACUACAACUCUUCUUCCGCACAAAGCAAGCCACCCAGGAAGGCUACUAUGAGUGAAAGUAAAUUGAAUGAUCCAGUUCCACCUUACCAGGGUUCCAUCUUGGGCCAUCAGAUGCCAGAAUCCAAACCUGUGCCACCACUGUGAAAUCUUUGGAAAACUGCUUUAAAAGAAUGCAACAACAAUAAAACAUUGGAAGUACAGUUCCGAAUCCUGCUGCAUUUGCAUAGAAAGCAUAGAAGACAUACCUGUCUAGAAGCAAAACAAGAACUUGACUGCCUCUCUUCAACAAGAACCGAACAGAUGAAGGAAACCUCUGACAUCUUCUAAAUGUAUGUUUUCUCUAGAGGUAAGAGGGCAGUUUUAUUUGGAUAUUUGAAUAUAUACACAGAAAGUGGAGAGGAAUGCAUAUUUUUUUCCUCAUAAUUUUUAUUGCAAAGACAUGAGGAAUGAGGAAGGGUACAAGGGUGGAUAUAAAACAGGCAUUUUUUAACAUUAUACAUAUUCAUCUUCUUCCAUUGUUACUUUCCUAAUAUAAAACAGAAGGAUAGAAAAGUGGAUGUACAGUGUUUUGAAACAAAAGAGAUAGAAAAGUUGAGAAAUGGAAAAUAGAAAGCCCUAACUAACACUUCCAAGUCAUACCCUGUCUCUGCUGUCUUCUUGAUAAAUCAAAAAAAUCUAUCCUUUUUGUCAUAAAUCUUCUUACCUCUGGUAGAUUAACUUUCCAAGAUCCCUUGAAUAUCAUUGGGGAUCCUGUUGUUCUUGUCACCAACUUCUCUAUUUUUCUUUUCUUGUUAUUAUUGCAUCCCUGUAUGUACUACUAAUUUUCCCCUAAGGCUGUAAAAACCCCAAUAUAUUCAUUUUCUUUUUUUUUAGUCAAUAAAAGGAUGCAGUUCUUCAAAAUUGGAAGGAUCUGGCAAUUGUAUAAGCCUUAUUAGUUUGUCAAUCUCUGCAAUAUCCAACAUUUUUGUAAUCCAUAAAUCUUGGGUGGGAAUUUCUUCAUACCCAAGUGAACAUAAACAAUUCUUGCUGCAGUUGCAAUUUAUAAAAGGAGUAUCAGAAUUUUUUGUUUGGUAGUGUUGAAUUUGUAAGUUCCAACAGAAAGUCUUCUGUCUCUGGUACUUUAAUUGUUAAGAUGGUUUCAAUGGUCUAAUGAAUUAGAAU